GACAGAGGGUGCAAACGUUGUUCGGAUUUACUGGGCGUAAAGCGCGUGUAGGCGGCUUGGCAAGUCGGUUGUGAAAGCCCACGGCUCAACCGUGGAAGCGCAUCCGAAACGGCCUCGCUCGAGUCUCGGAGAGGAAGGUGGAAUGCUUGGUGUAGAGGUGAAAUUCGUAGAUAUCAAGCAGAACACCUGCGGCGAAGGCGGCCUUCUGGACGAUGACUGACGCUGAGACGCGAAAGCGUGGGGAGCAAACAGG
Molecule: ribosomal RNA, 253 nt
Filed under: uncultured bacterium
Lineage: Bacteria
Description: partial 16S ribosomal RNA
Rfam family: Bacterial small subunit ribosomal RNA
Source: RNAcentral